This 497-nucleotide ribosomal RNA is filed under the name uncultured bacterium. Its description in RNAcentral is "partial 16S ribosomal RNA". It matches the Rfam family "Bacterial small subunit ribosomal RNA", at positions 28 to 507 of the family's 1533-position model. The record is from RNAcentral.
GAUGAACGCUGGCGGCGUGCCUAAUACAUGCAAGUCGAACGCAUAGCGAAAGGUGCUUGCCCCUUUCAAGUGAGUGGCGAACGGGUGAGUAACACGUGGACAACCUGCCUCAAGGCUGGGGGUAACAUUUGGAAACAGAUGCUAAUACCGAAUAAAACUUAGUGUCGCAUGACACAAAGUUAAAAGGCGCUUCGGCGUCACCUAGAGAUGGAUCCGCGGUGCAUUAGUUAGUUGGUGGGGUAAAGGCCUACCAAGACAAUGAUGCAUAGCCGAGUUGAGAGACUGAUCGGCCACAUUGGGACUGAGACACGGCCCAAACUCCUACGGGAGGCUGCAGUAGGGAAUCUUCCACAAUGGGCGAAAGCCUGAUGGAGCAACGCCGCGUGUGUGAUGAAGGCUUUCGGGUCGUAAAGCACUGUUGUAUGGGAAGAACAGCUAGAAUAGGAAAUGAUUUUAGUUUGACGGUACCAUACCAGAAGGGGACGGCUAAAUACGUG